CUACCAUUAAGUUGAGCACUCUAAUGAGACUGCCUGGGUAACCAGGAGGAAGGUGGGGAUGACGUCAAAUCAUCAUGCCCCUUAUGUCCAGGGCUACACACGUGCUACAAUGGUAGGUACAAUAAGAUGCAAGACCGUGAGGUGGAGCAAAACUUAUAAAACCUAUCUCAGUUCGGAUUGUAGGCUGCAACUCGCCUACAUGAAGCUGGAGUUGCUAGUAAUCGCGAAUCAGAAUGUCGCGGUGAAUACGUUCCCGGGCCUUGUACACACCGCCCGUCACACCAUGAGAGCUGGUAACACCCGAAGUCCGUGAGGUAACCGUAAGGAGCCAGCGGCCGAAGGUGGGAUUAGUGAUUGGGGUGAAGUCGUAACAAGGUAGCCGUAGGAGAACCUGCGGCUGGAUCACCUCCUUUCUAAGGAGA
RNAcentral lists this ribosomal RNA (422 nucleotides) under Clostridium botulinum. RNAcentral's name for it is "bacterial SSU rRNA". It matches the Rfam family "Bacterial small subunit ribosomal RNA", at positions 1118 to 1533 of the family's 1533-position model. Lineage: Bacteria; Bacillati; Bacillota; Clostridia; Eubacteriales; Clostridiaceae. The record is from RNAcentral.